UACGUAGGGGGCUAGCGUUGUCCGGAUUUAUUGGGCGUAAAGAGCGUGUAGGCGGCCAGGUAGGUCUGGUGUGAAAACUCGAGGCUUAACCUCGAGAUGUCAUCGGAAACCAUCUGGCUAGAGUCCGGAAGAGGAGAGUGGAAUUCCUGGUGUAGCGGUGAAAUGCGCAGAUAUCAGGAAGAACACCGAUGGCGAAGGCAACCCCCUGGGCUGACACUGACGCUCAGGCACGAAAGCGUGGGGAGCAAACAGG
RNAcentral lists this ribosomal RNA (253 nucleotides) under uncultured bacterium. RNAcentral's name for it is "partial 16S ribosomal RNA". It matches the Rfam family "Bacterial small subunit ribosomal RNA", at positions 524 to 776 of the family's 1533-position model. The record is from RNAcentral.